This 439-nucleotide ribosomal RNA is filed under the name uncultured bacterium. RNAcentral describes it as "partial 16S ribosomal RNA". It matches the Rfam family "Bacterial small subunit ribosomal RNA", at positions 339 to 795 of the family's 1533-position model. The record is from RNAcentral.
CUACGGGGUGCAGCAGCGAGGAAUAUUGCACAAUGGGGGGAACCCUGAUGCAGCAACGCCGCGUGGAGGAUGACGCAUUUCGGUGUGUAAACUCCUUUUAUAUGUCAAGAAAAUGACGGUAGCAUAUGAAUAAGCACCGGCUAACUCCGUGCCAGCAGCCGCGGUAAUACGGAGGGUGCAAGCGUUACUCGGAAUCACUGGGCGUAAAGGACGCGUAGGCGGGUUGGAAAGUCAGGUGUGAAAUCCUACAGCUUAACUGUAGAACUGCACUUGAAACUUCUAAUCUAGAGUAUGGGAGGGGGAGAUGGAAUUAGUGGUGUAGGGGUAAAAUCCGUGGAUAUCACUAGGAAUACCUAAAGCGAAGGCGAUCUCCUGGAACAUUACUGACGCUAAGGCGUGAAAGCGUGGGGAGCAAACAGGAUUAGAUACCCGCGUAGUC